AUUGAACGCUGGCGGCAUGCCUUACACAUGCAAGUCGAACGGCAGCACGGGUGCUUGCACCUGGUGGCGAGUGGCGAACGGGUGAGUAAUACAUCGGAACGUACCUUAUCGUGGGGGAUAACGCAGCGAAAGCUGUGCUAAUACCGCAUACGCCCUGAGGGGGAAAGCGGGGGAGCGAAAGACCUCGCGCGAUUAGGGCGGCCGAUGCCUGAUUAGCUUGGUGGUGGGGUAAAAGCCCACCAAGGCGACGAUCAGUAGCUGGUCUGAGAGGACGAUCAGCCACACUGGGACUGAGACACGGCCCAGACUCCUACGGGAGGCAGCAGUGGGGAAUUUUGGACAAUGGGGGCAACCCUGGUCCAGCAAUGCCGCGUGAGUGAAGAAGGCCUUCGGGUUGUAAAGCUCUUUUGUCAGGGAAGAAACACCGGCUCUAACACAGUCCGGGAAUGACGGUACCUGAAGAAUAAGCACCGGCUAACUACGUGCCAGCAGCCGCAGUAA
This 501-nucleotide ribosomal RNA is filed under the name uncultured bacterium. RNAcentral's name for it is "partial 16S ribosomal RNA". It matches the Rfam family "Bacterial small subunit ribosomal RNA", at positions 29 to 523 of the family's 1533-position model. The record is from RNAcentral.